CAGUUUUAGAAGGGAAAUUUAUAUGCACAUUGUUAUGCAUUUAUCAGAUAUUCUUCCCCCAUAUAACAAAAAGGGUAGUAAUUUUGCUGAAUGUUUUAUGUUGAAGUUAUUUCAAGGUAUUUCAUGGAUAUGCCCAUGAUGUGUUUG
This is a long non-coding RNA of Mus pahari (shrew mouse), 147 nucleotides long. RefSeq lists it as uncharacterized. The record is from RefSeq and is a predicted model, not a curated record. NCBI's taxonomy places the organism in Eukaryota, Metazoa, Chordata, Mammalia, Rodentia, Muridae. The transcript is spliced from 2 exons.